RNAcentral lists this microRNA precursor (202 nucleotides) under Oryza glumipatula. Its description in RNAcentral is "MIR812 microRNA precursor family". It matches the Rfam family "MIR812 microRNA precursor family". The record is from Rfam by way of RNAcentral. Lineage: Eukaryota; Viridiplantae; Streptophyta; Magnoliopsida; Poales; Poaceae.
CCCACCCUGUCUCAUGGGUAGUUUAGCUCAACUAGUACAUGUAAUUAGUAAUCCCUCCGUAUAAUUAGUAUUUUUGUUGUUAUGAGAUGAUAAAAUAUAAAUAGUACUUUACUCAUGACUUAUGUUUUUAAUUUUUUUAAAAAACAUUUCAAAUAAGAUGGACGGUUAAAGUUGGACGUGAAAAAUCAUGGCUGCACUUAAA